Molecule: ribosomal RNA, 419 nt
Filed under: bacterium
Lineage: Bacteria
Description: partial 16S ribosomal RNA
Rfam family: Bacterial small subunit ribosomal RNA
Source: RNAcentral
UGGGGGAUAUUGCACAAUGGGCGAAAGCCUGAUGCAGCGACGCCGCGUGGGGGAUGAAGGCCUUCGGGUUGUAAACUUCUUUUGCUCUGAACAAGGCGCACCAUGGGGUGUGUUGAGUGUAGGGGUUGAUUAGCGCCGGCUAACUACGUGCCAGCAGCCGCGGUAAUACGUAGGGCGCGAGCGUUGUCCGGAAUUAUUGGGCGUAAAGGGCUUGUAGGUGGCUGGUUGCGUCUGUCGUGAAAGCUCAUGGCUUAACUGUGGGUUUGCGGUGGGUACGGGCUGGCUUGAGUGCAGUAGGGGAGGCUGGAAUUCCUGGUGUAGCGGUGGAAUGCGCAGAUAUCAGGAGGAAUACCGGUGGCGAAGGCGGGUCUCUGGGCUGUUACUGACUCUGAGGAGCGAAAGCAUGGGGAGCGAACAGG